GAUGAACGCUGGCGGCGUGCCUAAUACAUGCAAGUCGAGCGAACGGACGAGAAGCUUGCUUCUCUGAUGUUAGCGGCGGACGGGUGAGUAACACGUGGAUAACCUACCUAUAAGACUGGGAUAACUUCGGGAAACCGGAUCUAAUACCGGACAAUAUUUUGAACCGCAUGGUUCACAAGUGAAAGACGGUCUUGCUGUCACUUAUAGAUGGUUCCUCGCUGCAUUAGCUAGUUGGUAAGGUAACGGCUUACCAAGGCAACGAUGCAUAGCUGACCUGAGAGGGUGAUCGGCCACACUGGAACUGAGACACGGUCCAGACUCCUACGGGAGGCAGCAGUAGGGAAUCUUCCACAAAGGGCGAAAGCCUGACGGAGCAACGCCGCGUGAGUGAUGAAGGUCUUCGGAUCGUAAAACUCUGUUAUUAGGGAAGAACAUAUGUGUAAGAAAAUGUGCACAUCUUGACGGUACCGAAUCAGAAAGCCACGGCUAACUACGUG
This 497-nucleotide ribosomal RNA is filed under the name uncultured bacterium. RNAcentral describes it as "partial 16S ribosomal RNA". It matches the Rfam family "Bacterial small subunit ribosomal RNA", at positions 28 to 507 of the family's 1533-position model. The record is from RNAcentral.